This 793-nucleotide long non-coding RNA is filed under the name Otus sunia (Oriental scops-owl). RNAcentral describes it as "lncRNA (ENSOSUG00000009511.1)". Lineage: Eukaryota; Metazoa; Chordata; Aves; Strigiformes; Strigidae. The record is from RNAcentral.
AUGGCUGCAAGAAGAAGUGUAGCUGCUCUCCAGAAGUGUCUUGUGACCACGUCACCGGAGAGUGCCGGAAAGAGUGUCCCCAAGGCUACCACGGGGCGAACUGCGACCAAGAGUGCCCGGAGGGGACGUUCGGGGCGGGCUGCCGGCAGCCCUGCUCCUGCGGCGGAGCGCCCUGCGACCGGAGCACGGGGCAGUGCCUCUGCCUGCCAGGCUGGAUGGGACACGACUGCGGCCAAGCUUGCCCCGAGGGCCACUGGGGACAGGGCUGCCAGGAGAUAUGUCCCGAGUGUGCCAACAACGCCAGCUGCGACCCUGCCACGGGAGCCUGCCUCUGCCCGCCCGGCUACACCGGCCGCCGCUGCCAGGACGCGUGUCCGCCCGGCUGGUUUGGCCCAGACUGCCGGCAGAGCUGCAGCUGCGGGAACGACGGCCACUGCCAUCCUGCCACGGGGACGUGCCGCUGCGCGCCGGGCUGGACGGGGCCUCGCUGCCAGAGAGCCUGCGAUGCCGGGCGCUGGGGCCCCGACUGCGCUCACACCUGCAACUGCAGCAACAGCGACGGGAGCUGCAGCGCUGAGACGGGGCAGUGCCUCUGCGAAGCUGGAUACACGGGCGGCCGCUGCGAGAGGAAGUGCCCGGAAGGAUGGUUUGGGCUGGGCUGUCAGCACCAGUGUCAGUGUGACAAUGGGGCCGCCUGUGACCACGUCAGCGGGGCCUGUACUUGCAGCCCGGGCUGGCGAGGAACCUUCUGUGAGCACGCUUGUCCUGAUGGAUUUUAUGGACUGGAGUGCCG